Molecule: ribosomal RNA, 457 nt
Filed under: uncultured Rhodospirillales bacterium
Lineage: Bacteria; Pseudomonadati; Pseudomonadota; Alphaproteobacteria; Rhodospirillales
Also listed under: 1 other name
Description: bacterial SSU rRNA
Rfam family: Bacterial small subunit ribosomal RNA
Source: RNAcentral
AGAGUUUGAUCCUGGCUCAGAACGAACGCUGGCGGCAUGCCUAACACAUGCAAGUCGAACGAUGGCUUCGGCCAUAGUGGCGCACGGGUGAGUAACGCGUGGGAACCUGCCCAGCAGUGGGGAAUAACUGAGGGAAACUUCAGCUAAUACCGCAUACGCCCUUCGGGGGAAAGAUUGAUCGCUGUUGGAUGGGCCCGCGUCGGAUUAGGUAGUUGGUGAGGUAACGGCUCACCAAGCCUGCGAUCCGUAGCUGGUCUGAGAGGAUGAUCAGCCACACUGGGACUGAGACACGGCCCAGACUCCUACGGGAGGCAGCAGUGGGGAAUAUUGGACAAUGGGCGCAAGCCUGAUCCAGCAAUGCCGCGUGAGUGAUGAAGGCCUUAGGGUUGUAAAGCUCUUUCGGCGGGGACGAUGAUGACGGUACCCGCAGAAGAAGCCCCGGCUAACUUCGUGCCAG